GGCCUCAUAGCUCAGCCGGUAGAGUGUACGCUGUAAAAAAACGUAGGCGGCGUCCAUGCGUGGGUUCAAAUCCCACCGAGGCUA
Molecule: transfer RNA, 84 nt
Filed under: Echinostoma caproni
Lineage: Eukaryota; Metazoa; Platyhelminthes; Trematoda; Plagiorchiida; Echinostomatidae
Rfam family: tRNA
About the family: Transfer RNA (tRNA) molecules are approximately 80 nucleotides in length. Their secondary structure includes four short double-helical elements and three loops (D, anti-codon, and T loops).
Source: Rfam by way of RNAcentral